GACAGAGGGUGCAAACGUUGUUCGGAAUUACUGGGCGUAAAGCGCGUGUAGGCGGCUAUGUAAGUCGGGCGUGAAAUCCCACGGCUCAACCGUGGAAGUGCACCCGAAACUGCGUAGCUAGAGUCCUGGAGAGGAGGGUGGAAUGCUUGGUGUAGAGGUGAAAUUCGUAGAUAUCGGGAAGAACACCAGUGGCGAAGGCGGCUGCCUGGCCUGUAACUGACGCUGAGACGCGAAAGCGUGGGGAGCGAACCGG
Molecule: ribosomal RNA, 253 nt
Filed under: uncultured bacterium
Lineage: Bacteria
Description: partial 16S ribosomal RNA
Rfam family: Bacterial small subunit ribosomal RNA
Source: RNAcentral